UCGAACGCUUCUUUCCUCCCGAGUGCUUGCACUCAAUUGGAAAGAGGAGUGGCGGACGGGUGAGUAACACGUGGGUAACCUACCCAUCAGAGGGGGAUAACACUUGGAAACAGGUGCUAAUACCGCAUAACAGUUUAUGCCGCAUGGCAUAAGAGUGAAAGGCGCUUUCGGGUGUCGCUGAUGGAUGGACCCGCGGUGCAUUAGCUAGUUGGUGAGGUAACGGCUCACCAAGGCCACGAUGCAUAGCCGACCUGAGAGGGUGAUCGGCCACACUGGGACUGAGACACGGCCCAGACUCCUACGGGAGGCAGCAGUAGGGAAUCUUCGGCAAUGGACGAAAGUCUGACCGAGCAACGCCGCGUGAGUGAAGAAGGUUUUCGGAUCGUAAAACUCUGUUGUUAGAGAAGAACAAGGACGUUAGUAACUGAACGUCCCCUGACGGUAUCUAACCAGAAAGCCACGGCUAACUACGUGCCAGCAGCCGCGGUAAUACGUAGGUGGCAAGCGUUGUCCGGAUUUAUUGGGCGUAAGGCGAGCGCAGGCGGUUUCUUAAGUCUGAUGUGAAAGCCCCCGGCUCAACCGGGGAGGGUCAUUGGAAACUGGGAGACUUGAGUGCAGAAGAGGAGAGUGGAAUUCCAUGUGUAGCGGUGAAAUGCGUAGAUAUAUGGAGGAACACCAGUGGCGAAGGCG
RNAcentral lists this ribosomal RNA (690 nucleotides) under uncultured Bacilli bacterium. Its description in RNAcentral is "bacterial SSU rRNA". It matches the Rfam family "Bacterial small subunit ribosomal RNA", at positions 62 to 723 of the family's 1533-position model. The record is from RNAcentral. Lineage: Bacteria; Bacillati; Bacillota; Bacilli.